Molecule: ribosomal RNA, 459 nt
Filed under: uncultured bacterium
Lineage: Bacteria
Description: partial 16S ribosomal RNA
Rfam family: Bacterial small subunit ribosomal RNA
Source: RNAcentral
CCUACGGGUGGCAGCAGUGAGGAAUAUUGGUCAAUGGGCGCGAGCCUGAACCAGCCAAGUCGCGUGAGGGAAGACGGUCCUAUGGAUUGUAAACCUCUUUUGUCGGGGAGCAAAAGACGCCACGCGUGGCGUUCCGAGAGUACCCGAAGAAAAAACAUCGGCGAACUCCGUGCCAGCAGCCGCGGUAAUACGGAGGAUGCGAGCGUUAUCCGGAUUUAUUGGGUUUAAAGGGUGCGCAGGCGGAAGAUCAAGUCAGCGGUAAAAUUGAGAGGCUCAACCUCGUCGAGCCGUUGAAACUGGUUGUCUUGAGUGGGUGAGAAGUAUGCGGAAUGCGUGGUGUAGCGGUGAAAUGCAUAGAUAUCACGCAGAACUCCGAUUGCGAAGGCAGCAUACCGGCGCUCAACUGACGCUCAUGCACGAAAGUGUGGGUAUCGAACAGGAUUAGAUACCCGGGUAGUC